UACGUAGGGUGCGAGCGUUAAUCGGAAUUACUGGGCGUAAAGCGUGCGCAGGCGGUUCGUUGUGUCCGAUGUGAAAGCCCCGAGCUCAACUUGGGAAUGGCAUUGGAAACUGGCGAGCUGGAGUGUGGCAGAGGGGGGUGGAAUUCCACGUGUAGCAGUGAAAUGCGUAGAGAUGUGGAGGAACACCGAUGGCGAAGGCAGCCCCCUGGGCCAACACUGACGCUCAGGCACGAAAGCGUGGGGAGCAAGCAGG
RNAcentral lists this ribosomal RNA (253 nucleotides) under uncultured bacterium. RNAcentral's name for it is "partial 16S ribosomal RNA". It matches the Rfam family "Bacterial small subunit ribosomal RNA", at positions 524 to 776 of the family's 1533-position model. The record is from RNAcentral.